AUGGACAUCUGGGUAGCUGUCACAGCAGGAGUCAAGGAAGCUGUAAAGCUGCCUGGCUGGCUCAAUGAAGCACAAACUCGCAAGUCCGUCAGACAUGUGAAUAAAUCCAGCAGUCCUGACUGUAUGCUCCAGCAUGAGGCAAAGAGAGGGACCAAUUACAUUUCUUUCCAGGAUGGAAAAUGGAACCACAUGGCUUCUGUAGUUAUUCCUUCAUUCUCCGUCAACACCAGGAAGUGUACUGCCCUUCACCACCCUGCUUUCAAGCCUGGCCUGGUUAAGUAUGGCCAUUGCACUCCUAAUUCAUCUGGGUUUAUGACACAGUUGAAGUUUCUUGUCUGUUCCAUGCUGUAAUAGCUAUCUAAGUUAACAUAGUGUCCUGGUUUCAGUUAGCACAGAAUUAAUUUUCUUCCUAGUAGCUGGUGGAAUGCUGUGUUUUGGCUUAGGAUGAGAAGAGUGCUGAUAACACCCCGAUGCUUUAAUUGUUGCAGAGCAGUGCUUAUACUAAGCCAAGGACAUCUCAGCCUUUUGCUCUGUCAUGCCAACGGGCAGGCUGGGGGUGCAGUAAGAGCUGGGAGGGGACAGACCCAGGACAGGUGACCCAAACUAGCCAAAGGGGUAUUCCAUACCAUCUGACGUCAUGCUAAACAAUAUAUAGGGGUGGCUAGCUGGGGGGAGGGGGCCGGACUGCUCGGGGUUAGGCUGGGCAUCGGUCAGCGAGUGGUGAGCAAUUGCAUUGUGCAUCACUUGUUUGUACAUACUAUUACUUUCGUAUUAUCACCAUUGUAUCAUUAUUAUUAUUAUUGUUAUUAUUAUUUUUGUUAUUAUUAUUUUCCUGUCUUAUUAAACUGUCUUUAUCUCAACUCACGGGCUUCACUCUCCAUUUCUCUCCCCCGUCCCAGAGAGGGAGGGGGGAGGGUGAGCGAACGGCUGCGUGGUGUUUAGCUGCCGGCCGGGUUAAACCACGACACAUAGUUUCUUCAAUCACUCCUGAGAACAAAGAUUUUAGACUUGGUGGUGGUGUCUACUGCCUCAUAAACUCCACUGAUUAAUAAUAUCCUAACUCCCAUUAUUAGGCCUGAGCAUUUUCAUUAUAUUGGAACUGGUUCUUAGUGAUCAGAGAAUCAUAGAGUGGUUUGGGUUAGAAGGGACCUUAAAGAUCAUCUAAUUCCAUCCCCUGCCAUGGGCAGGGACUCUUUCCAUUUAAUCAGGUUGUCCAAGGCCACAUCUAGCCUGGCCUUGAGCAAUUCCAGGGAUGGGUCAUCCACAGCUUCGCUGGGCAGCAUGUUCCAGUGCCUCACCAUCCUCUGAGUAAAGAACAUUUUUUCCUAAUGUCUAAAAUAAAUCUACCCUCUUUUAGUUUAAACCA
Molecule: long non-coding RNA, 1366 nt
Filed under: Anas platyrhynchos platyrhynchos (common mallard)
Lineage: Eukaryota; Metazoa; Chordata; Aves; Anseriformes; Anatidae
Description: lncRNA (ENSAPLG00000029965.1)
Source: RNAcentral